ACGGGUGCGUAACGCGUGGGAAUCUGCCCUUGGGUUCGGAAUAACAGUUAGAAAUGACUGCUAAUACCGGAUGAUGUCUUCGGACCAAAGAUUUAUCGCCCAAGGAUGAGCCCGCGUAAGAUUAGCUAGUUGGUGGGGUAAUGGCCCACCAAGGCGACGAUCUUUAGCUGGUCUGAGAGGAUGAUCAGCCACACUGGGACUGAGACACGGCCCAGACUCCUACGGGAGGCAGCAGUGGGGAAUAUUGGACAAUGGGCGAAAGCCUGAUCCAGCAAUGCCGCGUGAGUGAUGGAGGCCUUAGGGUUGUAAAGCUCUUUUACCAGGGAUGAUAAUGACAGUACCUGGAGAAUAAGCUCCGGCUAACUCCGUGCCAGCAGCCGCGGUAAUACGGAGGGAGCUAGCGUUGUUCGGAAUUACUGGGCGUAAAGCGUACGUAGGCGGUUACUCAAGUCAGAGGUGAAAGCCCGGGGCUCAACCCCGGAACUGCCUUUGAAACUAGGUAGCUAGAGUCUUGGAGAGGUUAGUGGAAUUCCGAGUGUAGAGGUGAAAUUCGUAGA
This 557-nucleotide ribosomal RNA is filed under the name uncultured Novosphingobium sp. Its description in RNAcentral is "bacterial SSU rRNA". It matches the Rfam family "Bacterial small subunit ribosomal RNA", at positions 102 to 694 of the family's 1533-position model. Lineage: Bacteria; Pseudomonadati; Pseudomonadota; Alphaproteobacteria; Sphingomonadales; Sphingomonadaceae. The record is from RNAcentral.